AAGAGAGUCUCCUAGACUGCUACCCUGGGCAACCAAGACUAAAUCACUUGGCUCUCU
This 57-nucleotide transfer RNA is filed under the name Hemidactylus fasciatus (banded leaf-toed gecko). RNAcentral's name for it is "tRNA-Ser". Lineage: Eukaryota; Metazoa; Chordata; Lepidosauria; Squamata; Gekkonidae. The record is from RNAcentral.